UUGGAAAUUUAUUUUCAGUGUCGCAGGGAAACCGAUAAACACACCGCCUGGGGAGUACGACCGCAAGGUUAAAACUCAAAUGAAUUGACGGGGACCCGCACAAGUAGUGGAGCAUGUGGUUUAAUUCGAAGAUACGCGCGGAACCUUACCAACACUUGACAUGUUCGUCGCGACUCUAAGAGAUUAGAGUUUUCGGUUCGGCCGGACGAAACACAGGUGCUGCAUGGCUGUCGUCAGCUCGUGUCGUGAGAUGUUGGGUUAAGUCCCGCAACGAGCGCAACCCUCACUUUUAGUUGCCAUCAUUAAGUUGGGCACUCUGAAAGAACUGCCAGUGAUAAGCUGGAGGAAGGUGGGGAUGACGUCAAGUCCUCAUGGCCCUUACGUGUUGGGCUACACACGUGCUACAAUGGCAUCUACAACAGGAAGCAAAACGGCAACGUUAAGCAAAUCCCGAAAAGAUGCCUCAGUUCGGAUUGCACUCUGCAACUCGAGUGCAUGAAGCUGGAAUUACUAGUAAUCGUGGAUCAGCGUGCCACGGUGAAUGCGUUCCCGGGUCUUGUACACACCGCCCGUCACACCAUGGGAGUUGGUUCUACCUUAAGGCAAGGUUUUAAACCCUUGACCACGGUAUAGUCAGCGACUGGGGUG
Molecule: ribosomal RNA, 648 nt
Filed under: uncultured marine bacterium
Lineage: Bacteria
Description: bacterial SSU rRNA
Rfam family: Bacterial small subunit ribosomal RNA
Source: RNAcentral